RNAcentral lists this ribosomal RNA (253 nucleotides) under uncultured bacterium. RNAcentral's name for it is "partial 16S ribosomal RNA". It matches the Rfam family "Bacterial small subunit ribosomal RNA", at positions 524 to 776 of the family's 1533-position model. The record is from RNAcentral.
UACGGAGGGGGCUAGCGUUGUUCGGAAUUACUGGGCGUAAAGCGCACGUAGGCGGCUUUGUAAGUUAGAGGUGAAAGCCUGCAGCUUAACUCCAGAAUUGCCUUUAAGACUGCAUCGCUCGAAUCCGGAAGAGGUGAGUGGAAUUCCGAGUGUAGAGGUGAAAUUCGUAGAUAUUCGGAAGAACACCAGUGGCGAAGGCGGCUCACUGGACCGGUAUUGACGCUGAGGCGCGAAAGUGUGGGGAGCGAACCGG